Molecule: long non-coding RNA, 429 nt
Filed under: Equus caballus (horse)
Lineage: Eukaryota; Metazoa; Chordata; Mammalia; Perissodactyla; Equidae
Description: lncRNA (ENSECAG00000052789.1)
Source: RNAcentral
CCAUUUUAACCAUUUUUGUGUGUAUGGUUCAGUGACCUCAAAUGCAUCCACAUUGUUGUGGAAUCAUUACCACCAUCUAUCUCCAGAAAUUUAGAUCCAGUUCAUUUUGGAUUCAGAGAUGCUACACAUUUCCAUGAAGGACAAGAAACUUGUGCUGUCUUCCUCAGGAGGGCAAAGUAUCAGUGGAAGUUUUUUCUGAAGGCUCCUUACCUCUUCGCUCUCCUCCCUAAGGGAAAGAAGUUGGCUGCAAAGCUCCAAGGAAAUGAGUUACAGCCCAGAGUUGAAGGCAUCCAAUCCCAGGACCCAAACAUGUCCCAGGCCCGUUUUUCUUGCUCCGCAACCUGGCUGAGGUUGAACUUGACUCAAAGUUGGGGAAGCACAGGAAGAGAGUUUCGAGCUAAUGUAAGAUAUGGUUUCUCUGAAUCUGCU